GAUCAAUGAUGAAACCUAUCCCGAAGCUGACUACCUGAAGAAAAGCAUGUACGGGUUUGGCUUCUGAGAU
Non-coding RNA from Ailuropoda melanoleuca (giant panda), 70 nucleotides. Lineage: Eukaryota; Metazoa; Chordata; Mammalia; Carnivora; Ursidae. The record is from Rfam.